Molecule: ribosomal RNA, 428 nt
Filed under: Klebsiella pneumoniae
Lineage: Bacteria; Pseudomonadati; Pseudomonadota; Gammaproteobacteria; Enterobacterales; Enterobacteriaceae
Description: partial 23S ribosomal RNA
Rfam family: Bacterial large subunit ribosomal RNA
Source: RNAcentral
UGUCUGAAUAUGGGGGGACCAUCCUCCAAGGCUAAAUACUCCUGACUGACCGAUAGUGAACCAGUACCGUGAGGGAAAGGCGAAAAGAACCCCGGCGAGGGGAGUGAAAAAGAACCUGAAACCGUGUACGUACAAGCAGUGGGAGCACCUUCGGGUGUGACUGCGUACCUUUUGUAUAAUGGGUCAGCGACUUAUAUUCUGUAGCAAGGUUAACCGUAUAGGGGAGCCGCAGGGAAACCGAGUCUUAACUGGGCGUUAAGUUGCAGGGUAUAGACCCGAAACCCGGUGAUCUAGCCAUGGGCAGGUUGAAGGUUGGGUAACACUAACUGGAGGACCGAACCGACUAAUGUUGAAAAAUUAGCGGAUGACUUGUGGCUGGGGGUGAAAGGCCAAUCAAACCGGGAGAUAGCUGGUUCUCCCCGAAAGCU